Molecule: ribosomal RNA, 223 nt
Filed under: uncultured bacterium
Lineage: Bacteria
Description: partial 16S ribosomal RNA
Rfam family: Bacterial small subunit ribosomal RNA
Source: RNAcentral
UACGUAGGGCGCAAGCGUUUGUCCGGAAUUAUUGGGCGUAAAGAGCUCGUAGGCGGUUUGUCGCGUCUGCCGUGAAAACCCGAGGCUUAACCUCGUGGCUUGCGGUGGAUACGGGCAGACUAGAGGUAGGUAGGGGAGAUGGAAUUCCUGGUGUAGCGGUGAAAUGCGCAGAUAUCAGGAGGAACACCGAUGCGAAGGCAGGUCUCUGGGCCACUACUGACGC